GGUCACUGCUAUUGGGGUUCGGCUAAGCCAUGCGAGCGGAGGGCGCGGUCGAAAGAUCGUGGCCCCGCACACGGCUCAGUAACACGUAGUCAACCUACCCUUGGGACGGGGACAACCUCGGGAAACUGAGGCUAAUUCCCGAUAGGCGAGGGACGCUGGAAUGCCUCCUCGCCCAAAGCUCCGGCGCCCGAGGAUGGGACUGCGGCCUAUCAGGCUGUUGGUGGUGUGACGGACCACCAAACCUACGACGGGUACGGGCGAUGGGAGUCGGAGCCCGGAGAUGGGGACUGAGACAAGGCCCCAGGCCCUACGGGGCGCAGCAGGCGCGAAAACUCCGCAAUGCGCGCAAGCGUGACGGGGGGAUCCCAAGUGCCGUUGGUCUUUUGAUCGACGGCUUUUCGGAAGUCUAAGAAGCUUCCAGAAUAAGGGCUGGGCAAGACUGGUGCCAGCCGCCGCGGUAACACCAGCAGCCCAAGUGGUGACCACGAUUAUUGGGCCUAAAGCGCUCGUAGCCGGGUCAGCAAGUCCCUUGUGAAAUCGGGCCGCCUAACGGUUCGGCGUGCAAGGGGUACUGUUGGUCUUGAGGCCGGGAGAGGUCGGAGGUACUCCUGGGGUAGCGGUGAAAUGCUCUAAUCCUGGGGGGACCACCAGUGGCGAAGGCGUCCGACCAGAACGGACCUGACGGUGAGGGGCGAAGGCUAGGGGAGCGAACGGGAUUAGAUACCCCGGUAGUCCUAGCUGUAAAGCAUGCGGGCCAGGUGUCUAGUGCUCCUCGAGGGCACUAGGUGCCGGAGGGAAGCCGUUAAGCCCGCCGCCUGGGAAGUACGGCCGCAAGGCUGAAACU
RNAcentral lists this ribosomal RNA (844 nucleotides) under uncultured archaeon. RNAcentral's name for it is "bacterial SSU rRNA". It matches the Rfam family "Archaeal small subunit ribosomal RNA", at positions 21 to 856 of the family's 1478-position model. The record is from RNAcentral.